This 30-nucleotide non-coding RNA is filed under the name Rattus norvegicus (Norway rat). The record is from RNAcentral. Lineage: Eukaryota; Metazoa; Chordata; Mammalia; Rodentia; Muridae.
UGAGAAAGAUUGGAUCCUAUUGGGAGAUGG